GCACUGCUGAAGAAUCUCAAACUAGGACGAAACGGCCGUCUAGUGC
Molecule: non-coding RNA, 46 nt
Filed under: Schistosoma bovis
Lineage: Eukaryota; Metazoa; Platyhelminthes; Trematoda; Strigeidida; Schistosomatidae
Also listed under: 1 other name
Source: RNAcentral